RNAcentral lists this ribosomal RNA (279 nucleotides) under uncultured bacterium. Its description in RNAcentral is "partial 16S ribosomal RNA". It matches the Rfam family "Bacterial small subunit ribosomal RNA", at positions 506 to 784 of the family's 1533-position model. The record is from RNAcentral.
UGCCAGCCGCCGCGGUAAUACGUAGGGAGCAAGCGUUGUUCGGAAUUACUGGGCAUAAAGCGCACGUAGGCGGUCUAGUCAGUCAGAUGUGAAAGCCCCUGGCUCAACCAGGGAACAGCAUUUGAUAUUGCUGGACUUGAGGGCGGCAGAGGAGAGUGGAACUCGUGGUGGAGCGGUGAAAUGCGUAGAUAUCACGAGGAACACCGGUGGCGAAAGCGACUCUCUGGGUCGUCCCUGACGCUGAGGUGCGAAAGCCAGGGGAGCGAACGGGAUUAGAUA